UGGUUAGGUCAUAUGACUGGAGUUUGCCUCUGUCUCUGCAUUUUUGACCAUAUUAUCAUAUGUUGGAGCUAAAUAAUUCACAGCAGUGAUGUCUCUGAGGAAGUAACCAGGCAAACAAUGACUGAGAGGAGAGGACACAGUGGAGAAAAAUGGCUCUGCAUGUUGUGAGGUAUGGUGGCUACUCCUCCCUUGUUGUUUUUGUCUCUCUUGCAGCUUGGCAGCAUGUCAUAAGAUGAUGUACCAAUGUCAUGGCCUUGUCCUCUAUGUUAUGUAUGAAGGAAAGGGAAAAUGGCUUUGCUCUACUGGGAAGAUAAGUUGAACCAACCGAUACCAUUCAAGAUUUAGUAAGGCUUGAAAUCUAAAAUAUGUGGGCAAGGGAGGUGCUGUGACAUGAGCUUAAGCCUACGUUAGCUUCUGAAACAACGGUCCUGUUGAUAUUAUCGCGCAUCAAUAUCUGGUGCUGGCCCCUGCUUUCUCGGCAGAAGAGGUGAGGUUUCCCGGAUGACUUUCAAACUUGCGGCAGCAGCCACGGCUGUCAUGCAAGUGAUGGGGUGAGCAAGAUGUGAGAGGUGAGUUGGGGACGAGAAGAACGGUACUGCCCGGAGUUGAUAGCACACGGCUGCUCCUCCUUUCUUGCAUUGUGUUUGCGUUGCAGGCUUGUUUCUCUUGGCAUGCCUCUAUCCUUUCACUCCUCUACAAAUCCAUUUGAGAGAGUCGUGACUUUCUUCAAAGACAGAAAGAGCAUGAAAGGGAACACAAACGAGCAUCACAGAAGCCGUGUCUCUGCGUCUCCCCAAAUGUAUUCCUCUUCAGCUACAUGCUGGACAACAAAACAGCAGUAUUCUCUACUGGAAUUGUUGGAAAAAAACAUCUGAUUGAUUUCCAUUUGAAUAAAAUAUCUGCCUUGCUAACA
RNAcentral lists this long non-coding RNA (913 nucleotides) under Coturnix japonica (Japanese quail). RNAcentral's name for it is "lncRNA (ENSCJPG00005010093.1)". The record is from RNAcentral. Lineage: Eukaryota; Metazoa; Chordata; Aves; Galliformes; Phasianidae.